CAUGGAAGCUGGGUUCCCAAAAAGCUAUCCAUCCAAGAGUUAGCAGGUCAGAAACUGUAGUAUCUUUGAGAACGCAGUCUCAGAAGUGGUUCUGCAUCACUAUAUUUCAUCCACAAUAUCCUAUUUGUUACUAAGUUAAGCCCUAUUCAGUGUCAGGAGGUGGAGACUACUAGGCCAGCAAUCACCUGCCAGGAUGGGAGGACCUCUGGGGGCCACCUUGGAAGCCAGUCCCCAUCAUGGAACUGUCCAUUGACAGAAUAGGCUGUGUCAUGAGACAAUAAGUGCCUGGAGGUACACAAACAAACCUGGCCCCAAACUGAGUAAAUGAGGAAAGGGGGUGGGCAGUUUUCUAGAACACAUUGUGAAUAGUCUAGACAAGCUUCCUCCUUUCAGAACUCAUUGUUCUCUAAGGAGUAUGUAAACUGACUUGAAAAAAAGAAAAGAGAGAGGGAAAUUAAGUGAGUUGAAAACACCAAAAUAGCUCUCAUUUUUUAGAGUGAAACUAUUUGAUAAAUUAUUUGAGGGUUACAUUUAUGAAGCGGGCAUGGAGGUGAGGGCAAACCAGAGCAAUCCCCCAAGAUGAGAUGAUUGGCAGUAUACCCUGGAGAAGGGAGCAAGAAUUUAAACACUGAGAAUUGUUUAAUUAGCCUAACUUCAUUCAAGACCUCUCAGCCUCAUUUUCAUUGUUUGUCUUACAUACAUAACAUCCUUCGGUAUCAGCCCAUCUUUUUGCAGCAUCAAGCCCCAAGACUCUGAAACAGUGUUUUAGAUAACCUACUAGGCAUUUCAUUCUCUAAAGAAACCAAUUAUAUAUGAAAUUAAUAAUUAAAAAUUAUAAAUAGAAAGAACAAGAAAACAUGCAUACUCCAUGUCCUGCGGGUAGAUUUUUGCAUGGUGUGUAGGGAAUUAGGUGCAAAAAAAUCCAUUUAUGUUAAUGGGCAUUGCAUGUCUAAUUUCUCAUGCACCACACUGCCGACUUCCCCCUGUGUCUUUGUCAGUACAUGGGACUGAUGGAGGGGGAAAGAAAAGUGAAUGAUUUAUUUGAUGGUCUGUCAAUCAUAACAGCAACCAGAGAAAUUCCAAAACUGUUUUUAACCUCUAUAGAAACAGUUAGUUAGACCAUAUGCUUUUUUCUUCUUGCCAGAUGCUGUCAUUCAUCAAUUUCCUAUUAAGAAAAUGGGAUUCUGCAAAACCACUGAGGGUCUUUCUCAUUUGUAAUAGAUAUGCCACAAAAUCAGAUUGCAAACGUAUUCUGCAGCUUGUGCAAAAUAACUUCUGACACUUGCUAAUCUCCAUAUUAAUUCUGACUGACCUUUGAUGGUGUUUCUUAUGUGUGGUCAGAACAUCAUCCAAAAAUAUUAUUUUAAAAUUACUUUUACCCUGAGUUUAAGCCUAGAGGUUAAAUAGAUUUGUUUGUGAUUAUCCAGUCUAUAAAAAAGAAAUUAAAUGGACAUUUAAAAAUACCAGUUCCCUCCUAAAAUACUCUUUAGAUAGUAAAGAGAGAUAAUAAAAUGUCUGAGAAUUAAAGUAAGCAACAUGAGCCAAGCAUUGAUCACUCGAAGACAUCAAAGAAACUGAAAAAAAAUUUUUUUAAUUAUAUUGACCCCUCUCACCCCACCAAGUACAAAGAUCAUUUUGUUGAGAGCAGAUGGCUGCUAAUUACUAUAAGCUCCUGAGUGGAUUUGUUUGUUUGCUUGUUUGUUUAUAAUCAUGGAUAAAGACACCUAGAAAACCUAAGGACUCCUUUUCUUAGGGACAAUAAAAUCCAUCCUCUCCUCAGCAGUAGUACAUCGUCAGGCUUCAGGACAUGGCUAUAACAACAAUUGCAUUUUGGGUUUUAAAUUUGAAUGUUCUAGGUAGUUGGAAUAUAUUGACACUUGCCAUCAUUUCUAACACAGAUUUUCUUGAGGUAUUCUUAUGAUAACACUGGUGGCUUCAAAUGUUUGCUUGUCAUGCCGAACUCACUGAGCAAACCAGCGAACAUGGAAGUUUAAGGGAAAAGAAUACCACUGCACAACUUUCAAUCUGCAGCAUUUUGCAUUUCUUAUUAAUAGGAACUGACUCUUUGACAAACCCUGCAAAUGCUUUAUAGGAGUGAGGAAUGCUCUGAAAUUCAAGGCAAAUUUCGUUCAAUAGUUAAGCACUGAUCAAAAUUCUGAAUUUUCUCUGGCUGUCAGCCAGCAAGCAGGGGCUGCUUAUUGUUUAAGAUUUUAGUAGAAAGCCACUCAGAGGGGAGGGAAAAAAAAAAAAAUCUAUGACUUUACAGCUGUCAGACUUUGUUGUAUCUACUCCAGCCUAAUAUUCUCAAGUCUAAUUUUUUUUUAAGCUUUGUCUUUUUAUUCAUAGACCCAGUAGAGAGUGCAUAUAGCCAUAAACGUGUGCCUCCAUCACACGGCAUUGCUAUUGACCCCUGCCCUGAGCUGAAGAUUGUACCUUCUCAGGGGAUAACAAAUGAUUCACUUUGCAGGUAGGCAGAGGCCUGGAGCUCCCUUCUCCAGACACUGCCAAUUUUCCUGAAUGAUCUCUUGUGAUUGGUUUUCUCAUAUGAAUGGACUCUCUGAGUACACCACCACCAAACUCUGUUUAUUUAGGAAUAUGUCUUUGACAAGAACAGCUGUCCUGGGGUUGAAAUGAUUAGUACUUUAUCUGCUAAUGCAGGUUCCCAUUUGGCUGUGGGCUAAAAACACAUUUCCAUCCUGGGAAAACAUUGCUGCCAUUUCUUGGCCCCCAAACAAGUUUUUGGUGUUUGAUCAAGCUGAGCCACUAAAAAAAAAAUGACAAUAAUCUUAUGUAAGGUCACUGGCUUGACCUCUAACGGCCGACUAAGGUUCCAGUUCUGUAAGGUGAACCGGAAAAACGAGCAAGCUCUGUGCAUAGAAAUAGUAGCCAAGUUUCCUCUAUUAAUCCAGCCUCACUUGGGAGCAUGGUUAAAAUAAGGAUACAGGUGAGCACAAAAGAGAUAGGAUCCUGAGUCUGACCUUGACUUAGAGAGAAAAUUCUUUAACAGGUCCAUAGUGGGUGGGAGAAAUGGAGCUAGAGGCCCUCAGCCAGAAAAUUAUUUAACCUGGAGCUAACAUUCUUUCAAACUUCCUGUUUAGGAGUGUUAAGGUAUUUCCAAGCACAGUUGUACAAACACAUAUCCAUUGUGAGAUACAAAUAUGUGUAGUCUGUUGAAUAAAAUAUUAAAAAGUAACCACUACUUUUUGAAAUAUUGGUCUGUCAUUUUUUAGUGUUUUGAUUAUUUGGGCAUCUUAAUGCUUUUCAAUAGCAUCUGCCGAAGCCCACUGAAAAACUUUAAGAUUGGUUUAAAGCACUGUUAAACUAACCCGCAAAGAGCAGAGCCCAUAACAAAUUAGUAAAUUGUCACAAACUAGGUGGCAAGACAGCAAAAAUAUAUUUUCUCAAAGUCCUGAAGAUGAACCACUUCAAAUCAAAUUAUCAGCAGGGCCAUAUUCUCUGAAGGCUCCAGGAAGACUCUUUCCUUGCCUUUUCCUUUCUUCUGGUAGCUCCCAGCAGUCCUCAUUAUUCCCUGUCACAUCUUCUUUGAGGCUCUGUCUCUGUUUCCGUGUGUCUCUCUGUGUAACAUCUGCUUUCUUAUACAUCCGUCAUUGGAUUUAGGGUCCACCCUAGUCCUAUAUGACCUCAUCUUAAAUACAUCUGCCAAGAUCCUAGUCUUAAAUAAGGUCAUAUUCCCAGGUAGACCUGAAUUUUGGGAAAACACAUCAGCCCAAAUCUCUUUCUCCAUGUGACCUACUGGGAUAACUAGGAAAACAGCAGGAACAGUGGCCUACCUUUUUCUUUGAAAGGUAUUUGAUGACCUGACAGUUGUAGUAAAGACCACAGCAAAGGCCUGUAGAAUAAACAAUGGGAAAAUAAGACAGAGGCACAGAGACAAGGAAAUUUCUUCAUGCCUUCCUCAUAGAGCCCAUGUAUUUUCCCAACCAAAGUCUUAGCUGUACUUCACACUUGCCCCCUCAGCAGAGAAACUGGUCUCCCCAUGGCCCAAGGCACAGGAACAUGUGUCACAUGGGGACUGGAAGCCACUGUAAAUGUGGCACCUCUUCUUAAUGCAUCAGUUGUAUUCAAUUAUUUAGUUAUUAAAAACAUGUUUAGGUUGAAAUAAACAUGACUACUUUUUAGUAGUUCCUGUUGUGGCUCAGUGAUAAUGAACCCGACCAGCACCAAUGAGGAUGCGGAUUUGAUCCCUGGCCUCGCUCAGUGGGUUAAAGGAUCUGGCAUUGUCAUGACCUGUGGUUUAGGUCACAGAUAUGGCUCAGAUCCCGCAUUACUGUUGCUGUGACAUAGGCCGGUGACCACAUCUCUGAUUUGACCCCUAGCCUGGGAACUUCCAUAU
This 4354-nucleotide long non-coding RNA is filed under the name Sus scrofa (pig). Its description in RNAcentral is "lncRNA (ENSSSCG00055024121.1)". Lineage: Eukaryota; Metazoa; Chordata; Mammalia; Artiodactyla; Suidae. The record is from RNAcentral.